This 253-nucleotide ribosomal RNA is filed under the name uncultured bacterium. Its description in RNAcentral is "partial 16S ribosomal RNA". It matches the Rfam family "Bacterial small subunit ribosomal RNA", at positions 524 to 776 of the family's 1533-position model. The record is from RNAcentral.
UACGUAGGGUGCAAGCGUUGUCCGGAAUUAUUGGGCGUAAAGAGCUCGUAGGCGGUCUGUCGCGUCUGCUGUGAAAACUCAGGGCUUAACCCUGAGCUUGCAGUGGGUACGGGCAGACUAGAGUGCGGUAGGGGAGACUGGAAUUCCUGGUGUAGCGGUGAAAUGCGCAGAUAUCAGGAGGAACACCGGUGGCGAAGGCGGCUCUCUGGGACGGUACUGACGCUGAGACGCGAAAGCGUGGGGAGCGAACAGG